This is an RNA transcript of Pyrus x bretschneideri (Chinese white pear), 4542 nucleotides long. It is a transcript of the gene named translocase of chloroplast 120, chloroplastic, with no coding region annotated. The record is from RefSeq and is a predicted model, not a curated record. The transcript has 3 exons. Lineage: Eukaryota; Viridiplantae; Streptophyta; Magnoliopsida; Rosales; Rosaceae.
GGUUGAAGCAAUGAAGCCUAGUACAGAUAUCGGAUUCACAAACUAGAAGAAAAUCCUCGAGCCUCAGUCUCUCUCUCUCUCUCUCUCUCUCUCUCUCUCCUCUCUGAAUCGAAGCGAGGCGAAAGGCAGAGAGCCUUUAUCUCUGUUAACCCAGAAAACCUGGGUUUUGAGGCUGCAUUCUGAGGAUUUGGGGAUGGAAAAUGGUGAUAAGAAUGCUGGUGGGUCUGAAGUGGGGGAGAACAAGAGUGUGGAAGUUGAGGUUGUUGAGGAGAGGGUUGUAGAGGGGUCUAAUGGACUCAAGGAUGACGCCGAAGAUGAGGUUUUUAAGGAGGCAAUAAAGACACAGGAAAAUUUGCAGCAGCAGGGGAGCAAAAAGGAUUUAGUGGAUGCUGCUGCUGUUGGUGAAGAAAGAAAGGCUGAGAUGGUUGGUGGUUUGGGGUUGGACUCUCUUAUAGAGAGUCCUAAUGUCGAAAAGUUUGAAGAGGCAAUUGAAGUUCCUGAUGAGGUUGGGAAAUCUGAUGGUGAUGAUGGGGAGGAGGCAAUCGUGGCAGGUGAAGUGAAGGUGGAAAACAUGGUGGGUAAGAACAGUGAUGAUGAGGUUGGAGUGCCAGUUGGAAUUGAUGAUGGACAGACUAUAAAAGAAGUAGUCAGUGAGGAAACAAAUGGAUUGACAGAUGAUGGGUUGGUGGGCAGCCAAGAAGAUGGAGUAAAAGAGGUUACUCAGGUUGGGGCUGGUGGAGGAAUAGCAGGAUUGACAGGUGGGGAUGAGGCUGAUGUAAAGUCUGUAGUUCUUGAGAAUAUGAAGUUUGAAAAAGUCAAUUUUGAAUCAAAUGGACUUGUGGAUGAUGGAUUGGUGGGUAGCCAAGACGUUGAGGUGAAAGAAGUUUCUGAGAUUAUUACUGGUGCGGAAGUAGCAGGUUUGACAGAUGUGGAUGAGGUUGAUUCAAAGCCCAAUGCAGUUCUUAAGAAUAAGGAGCCUGAGAGGAAUGAUAUUGAUAGUUCAACUUCAGAGCCAGUGCCUACAGAUGAAAAAUUAGAUACUGAAGAUCUUGAUUCUCCUCAAGUAACUGAAUUUACUAAGGAGAUUUUGAAGGAAGCUGGUAAUAGUCAGGAGUUAGAGGAGAAUUCCUUGAGCAUUGAGAAUCAGGAUGAGAAGACUGUGGACCUAGCAAGUGCUUCAGAUGGCGUUCCUUUGAAGCUUCAAGAUGAUAAUGGUGUAGAACUGCAUGAUAGAAACAUGGAUACAGUGCAUCAGGAAGGUCAUAGUGCUGAUUCAAAUGAUGCCACCCUUAGCAUUGAAGAAAAGCAGGAGGAUAAUAAGACUGAAAAACCGAAAGAUACUUUGACUGUUACAGAUGCUGAACAUCAAGGUUUCAGUAAUGGGGAAGUGAAGGACUCUUUCACUGUGCCGGGUUCAGAGCAUCACGAGGAAAAAUCUGAACCAAAAAGCGUUUCAUCUGCUAAACAGCUGUCUGGGGAGGGUGGUGAGGAAAGGAUUGUGACAUCAGAAAGGGAGAUCUCAGCUCUUUCUGAAACAUCUGCAACUGAGAAAACAGAGACGAUUCAGGAUGGAGCCACUAAUUUGAGAACAAAAAGUAACAAAGUUGAUCAACCUCAGCGAGUUGGUGAAAUUGCAUGUGAAGUUCGCGACAACAUUGCUGUGCCUGAAGAGCCUGAAAAGAAAGAAAACAUUCAGGGAGAAAGGGGAAUCACUAAAGUGAACAAAGAACAAGAGAUUCAGCCUGCACCAGCUCUUUCUUCAUCUUUAAAUUCUACACAACCAAGUCCCCCUCCUGCUCGUCCAGCUGGCCUUGGUCGUGCUGCCCCACUUUUGGAACCUUCUCCUAGGGUGGUACAGCAUCCUCGAGUGAAUGGUACAAUAUCUCAUGUGCAAAACCAGCAAAUUGAGGACCCUGUUAAUGGAGAGGCAGAGGAGUCUGAUGAGACUCGUGAAAAGCUUCAGAUGAUAAGAGUGAAAUUUUUACGUCUUGCACAUAGACUUGGGCAGACUCCGCAUAAUGUUGUUGUGGCUCAGGUUUUGUACAGAUUGGGAUUAGCUGAGCAGCUGCGUGGUAGAAAUGGGGGCCGUGUUGGUGCCUUUAGUUUUGACCGUGCAAGUGCGAUGGCGGAACAGCUUGAGGCAUCGGGGAAUGAACCCCUUGAUUUUGCUUGUACCAUUAUGGUUCUUGGAAAGUCAGGAGUUGGUAAAAGCGCAACCAUCAAUUCUAUAUUUGAUGAAAAGAAGUUCACUACUGAUGCUUUUCAGAUGGGGACAAAGAAAGUUCAGGAUGUUGUGGGUACUGUGCAAGGGAUUAAGGUACGGGUCAUUGACACACCUGGACUUUUACCUUCCUGGUCAGACCAGGGACAGAAUGAGAAGACUCUCCUCAAUGUUAAGCGCUUUAUCAAGAAAACACCUCCGGAUAUUGUGUUGUAUUUUGAUAGGUUGGACAUGCAGAGCAGAGAUUUUAGCGAUAUGCCACUCUUGCGCACCAUCACAGACAUUUUCGGGGCCUCUAUUUGGUUCAAUGCAAUUGUGGUUCUGACUCAUGCUGGAUCAGCUCCACCUGAGGGCCCAAAUGGUGCCGCUUCUAGUUAUGACAUGUUUGUCACUUCACGAUCUCAUGUUGUUCAGCAAGCCAUUCGUCAGGCAGCCGGGGAUAUGCGCCUCAUGAAUCCUGUUUCAUUAGUAGAGAACCACUCCGCUUGCAGAACUAAUAGGGCUGGGCAAAGAGUCUUGCCAAAUGGUCAGGUUUGGAAGCCUCAUUUGUUGUUGCUCUCCUUUGCAUCCAAGAUUCUGGCCGAAGCAAAUGCAUUAUUGAAGUUGCAAGAUAGUCCACCUGGAAAACCUUUUGCAACUCGAACUAGGGCACCUCCUUUACCUUUCUUGCUUUCAUCACUCCUUCAGUCAAGACCACAGUUGAAGCUGCCUGAGGAGCAGUUUGGUGAGGAUGACAGUCUAGAUGAUGAUCUGGAUGAAUCUUCAGAUUCUGAUGAUGAAUCAGAAUUUGAUGAAUUGCCCCCAUUCAGACGUUUGACCAAGGCCCAGGUGGAAAAACUGUCUAAAGCACAGAAAAAGGCAUAUUUUGAUGAGUUAGAGUACAGGGAAAAGCUCUUUAUGAAGAAACAAUUGAAGGAGGAAAAAAAGCGACGGAAGUUGAUGAAAAAAAUGGCAGCUGCAGCGAAGGAACUGCCAAGUGAUUAUGUCGAAAAUGUUGAAGAAGAGAGUUCUGGUGCAGCAUCUGUACCUAUUCCCAUGCCAGAUUUGGCAUUGCCUGCUUCCUUUGAUUCUGAUAAUCCAACUCACCGUUACCGGUACCUAGAUUCCUCCAACCAGUGGCUCGUAAGACCUGUUCUGGAACAGCAUGGUUGGGAUCAUGAUGUUGGUUAUGAGGGUAUAAAUGCAGAAAGACUGUUUGUUGUUAAAGAAAAGAUACCCUUAUCUUUUUCUGGCCAGGUUACCAAGGAUAAGAAGGACGCCAAUGUCCAAAUGGAAAUUGCUACUUCAAUAAAGCAUGGAGAAGGGAAAGCGACUUCAUUCGGGUUUGAUAUGCAGACUGUUGGAAAGGACUUGGCUUAUACUCUACGAAGUGACACAAGGAUCAGUAAUUUUAGGAAGAAUAAGGCUACGGCUGGUCUCUCAGUUACUCUCCUGGGUGAUGCUUUAUCGGCUGGUAUGAAAGUUGAAGACAAAUUUAUUGCUAAUAAACGGUUCCAAUUGAUUAUGACUGGUGGCGCAAUGACUGCCCGUGGUGACGUUGCUUAUGGUGGUAGUUUGGAGGCUCAGUUGAGAGACAAAGACCAUCCUUUGGGUCGUUCCCUAUCAACCCUUGGGCUCUCAGUCAUGGAUUGGCAUGGAGAUCUUGCCAUAGGGUGCAAUAUACAGUCUCAGAUUCCUGUUGGACGGCAUACGAACCUGAUUGCUCGUGCCAAUUUGAACAAUAGGGGGGCAGGACAACUCAGCUUGCGCUUAAAUAGCUCUGAACAGCUUCAGUUAGCUUUGAUUGGCCUUGUUCCUCUGCUCAGAAAGUUUUUCACUUUUCCUCAACAGUUGCAGUAUGGACAAUGAUGAAAAUUAGAAUAAUGAUUGUGCCGUGGCAGCAUUGAGGUAUAGGUCGUCAUCAAGAGUGAGUGAGGAGUUCAUCCUGUGAUGGCCAUCACCACAAUCAUUGAUAUUGUUUGUGCAUGGCAGAGGGCUUUGAAAAUGACCAAGUUUUUAGUCUUUUGCUGUUGGUGUUUGAUCAAUGUGAGCUGCACCUAAAGGAAGCCUGGAGUAUGAAUAAUUUUCUGCUUUAACCCUGUCCUUCCACUCGUUUUUGUGAGGGAAGGAAAAGAGCAGCACCAAUAGCAUUCCUCAGAUUCUCUUCUAGUAGGGGGAGUCAUCCGCAGGAUGGUGGAAAAUAACGAGGUUAUCUUUUGCUCAACGCUGUUUUUCUUCUUCUCGUGUUUGUAAUGCAAUUUUGACAGAAUUAAGAAUCGUGCAUCAGUUAGACCAUUGUAAACUCUUCUUUGUAAUGCACCGGGAGUUCAUUUUUCCGUUUA